AGCAGCCGCGGUAAUUCCAGCUCCAAUAGCGUAUAUUAAAGUUGUUGCAGUUAAAAAGCUCGUAGUUGAAUUUCGGGGUUAGUAGAUUGGUCAUGCCUCUGGUAUGUACUGGUCUCACUGAUUCCUCCUUCCUGAUGAACCUUAAUGCCAUUAAUUUGGUGUUUUGGGGAAUUUGGACUGUUACUUUGAAAAAAUUAGAGUGUUUAAAGCAAGCUAACGCUUGAAUACAUUAGCAUGGAAUAAUGAAAUAGGACGUUCGAUCCUAUUUUGUUGGUUUCUAGGAUUGACGUAAUGAUUAAUAGGGAUAGUUAGGGGCAUUAGUAUUCAAUUGUCAGAGGUGAAAUUCUUGGAUUUAUUGAAGACUAACUACUGCGAAAGCAUUUGCCAAGGAUGUUUUCAUUAAUCAAGAACGAAAGUUAGGGGAUCGAAGACGAUCAGAUACCGUCGUAGUCUUAACCAUAAACUAUGCCGACUAGGGAUCGGAUGAUGUUAAUUUUUUAAUGACUCA
This 508-nucleotide ribosomal RNA is filed under the name uncultured glomeraceous AM fungus. Its description in RNAcentral is "SSU rRNA". It matches the Rfam family "Eukaryotic small subunit ribosomal RNA", at positions 569 to 1078 of the family's 1831-position model. The record is from RNAcentral. Lineage: Eukaryota; Fungi; Glomeromycota; Glomeromycetes; Glomerales; Glomeraceae.